RNAcentral lists this ribosomal RNA (429 nucleotides) under Bacteroidota bacterium. RNAcentral's name for it is "Bacteroidetes bacterium partial 16S ribosomal RNA". It matches the Rfam family "Bacterial small subunit ribosomal RNA", at positions 355 to 776 of the family's 1533-position model. Lineage: Bacteria; Pseudomonadati; Bacteroidota. The record is from RNAcentral.
UAGGGAAUCUUCCGCAAUGGACGCAAGUCUGACGGAGCAACGCCGCGUGAGUGAAGAAGGAUUUCGGUUCGUAAAACUCUGUUGUUAGAGAAGAACAGCGCAUAGAGUAACUGUUAUGCGUGUGACGGUAUCUAACCAGAAAGCCACGGCUAACUACGUGCCAGCAGCCGCGGUAAUACGUAGGUGGCAAGCGUUGUCCGGAUUUAUUGGGCGUAAAGCGAGCGCAGGCGGUCAAUUAAGUCUGAUGUGAAAGCCCCCGGCUCAACCGGGGAGGGUCAUUGGAAACUGGUUGACUUGAGUGCAGAAGAGGAGAGUGGAAUUCCAUGUGUAGCGGUGAAAUGCGUAGAUAUAUGGAGGACCACCAGUGGCGAAGGCGACUCUCUGGUCUGUAACUGACGCUGAGGUUCGAAAGCGUGGGUAGCAAACAGG